UCCUAGCUGGCUAAGUUAGUAGAGCAUGUGACUCUUAAUCUUGGGGUUGUGAGUUCGAGACCCAUGUUGGGAG
This 73-nucleotide transfer RNA is filed under the name Felis catus (domestic cat). It matches the Rfam family "tRNA". Rfam says of the family: Transfer RNA (tRNA) molecules are approximately 80 nucleotides in length. Their secondary structure includes four short double-helical elements and three loops (D, anti-codon, and T loops). RNAcentral also lists the same sequence under 1 other name. Lineage: Eukaryota; Metazoa; Chordata; Mammalia; Carnivora; Felidae. The record is from Rfam by way of RNAcentral.